UAGCCCACACUUUUUCACUGAAACAAGGGGAAAGCUCAAAUGGGGUGUUGGCCCCCGAGGCAGCAGUAAAGAAUUUUGUGCAAUAUACGAAAGUAAGACACAGAGAGGGCACCUUUUCUAGUCCGUCAAAUUAAGUGCCAGCAGACGCGGUGAAACUUAAGGGCUAGUCUUAUAGGCAAAAGCGUAAAGGGUGUGAUAGGCCGCCUUAUUUAAGAGAGUAAAUGGAAUUUUUCUGUAAUGGUGGUAUGUGUAAAUAGGAAAAAGAACUUUAGACGUGAAGACUAUUUACUUCUAAGAUUAUAAUGUGUUGGCUAAAACACGAGAGUGUGGGGAGCAAACAGGAUUAGGUACCCUGGUAGUCCAUACUGUAAAUAAUGAAAAAGAUGUGAAGCAAUUCUAAAAGGUAAGAACUUUUCCGCUUGAGUAGUACGAUCGCAAGAUUAAAAUUCAAAAAACUUGGCUGUUCACUGUUUUGAUUAGAGGAGCGUGUCGUUUAAUUCGAUAGUCCGCGAGAGACCUUACCCAAACUUGAAUCCCUCAUUGACAGGUAUUGCAUGGCCGUCGUCAAUUUGUGUAUUAAACAUAAAACAAAUUCAACCCAGUGGUUUGUCUAUUGGAUGAAGUCAGGUCUUAUUGUCCUAAUGUUUGGGGAUUAGAUGCGCUACAUUUUUUUAUACAAUGGGAAACUUUGAAUGUGAAACCCAAAAAUAAGAGUUCGGAAGGUGUCUGGAAUAUAACGGAAAGUUGGAUUUAAUAGUAAUGAAAAUUAGGAGCUUUUCCAAAAAA
RNAcentral lists this ribosomal RNA (786 nucleotides) under Goniopora columna. RNAcentral's name for it is "partial small subunit ribosomal RNA". It matches the Rfam family "Bacterial small subunit ribosomal RNA", at positions 302 to 1367 of the family's 1533-position model. The record is from RNAcentral. Lineage: Eukaryota; Metazoa; Cnidaria; Anthozoa; Scleractinia; Poritidae.